UAGGCUAGGGGGCGGGAGAAGCCGACGGUAUUUCCGGGGUAGGGGUAAAAUCCUAUAAUCCCGGGAGGACCACCAGUGGCGUAGGCGGUCGGCUAGCACGCGCUCGACGGUGAGGGACGAAAGCUGGGGGAGCAAACCGGAUUAGAUACCCGGAUAGUCCCAGCUGUAAACGAUGCGGGCUAGGUGUUGGGGUGGCCACGAGCCACUUCAGUGCCGCAGGGAAGCCAUUAAGCCCGCCGCCUGGGGAGUACGGCCGCAAGGCUGAAACUUAAAGGAAUUGGCGGGGGAGCACCACAAGGGGUGAAGCUUGCGGUUCAAUUGGAGUCAACGCCGGGAACCUUACCGGGGGCGACAGCAGGUUGAAAGCCAGAUUGACGAUCUUGCUGGACGAGCUGAGAGGAGGUGCAUGGCCGUCGCCAGUUCGUGCCGUGAGGUGUCCUGUCAAGUCAGGCAACGAUCGAGACCCACGCUCCCUGUUGCUACCGAGGAGUUUCCAAGGGGCACUCUGGGGGGACUGCCGU
Molecule: ribosomal RNA, 521 nt
Filed under: uncultured crenarchaeote
Lineage: Archaea; Thermoproteati; Thermoproteota
Description: bacterial SSU rRNA
Rfam family: Archaeal small subunit ribosomal RNA
Source: RNAcentral